GAUGAAGAACGUAGCGAAAUGCGAUAAGUAAUGUGAAUUGCAGAAUUCAGUGAAUCAUCGAGUCUUUGAACGCACAUUGCGCCCCCUGGUAUUCCGGGGGGCAUGCCUGUCCGAGCGUCAUUGCUGCCCUCAAGCACGGCUUGUGUGUUGGGCCCCGUCCUCCGAUCCCGGGGGACGGGCCCGAAAGGCAGCGGCGGCACCGCGUCCGGUCCUCGAGCGUAUGGGGCUUGUCACCCGCUCUGUAGGCCCGGCCGGCGCUUGCCGAUCAACCCAAAUUUUUAUCCAGGUUGACCUCGGAUCAGGUAGGGAUACCCGCUGAACUUAAGCAUAUCAAUAAGCGGAGGA
This 345-nucleotide unclassified non-coding RNA is filed under the name soil metagenome. Its description in RNAcentral is "partial contains 5.8S ribosomal RNA, internal transcribed spacer 2, and large subunit ribosomal RNA". The stretch from base 1 to 120 matches the Rfam family "5.8S ribosomal RNA", at positions 35 to 154 of the family's 154-position model. The record is from RNAcentral.